Molecule: long non-coding RNA, 1906 nt
Filed under: Anas platyrhynchos platyrhynchos (common mallard)
Lineage: Eukaryota; Metazoa; Chordata; Aves; Anseriformes; Anatidae
Description: lncRNA (ENSAPLG00000029866.1)
Source: RNAcentral
AGGUGAUUGGGGACCACCAGGGGAUGGUGGGCAACCACCAGGAGAUGAAUGGGGACCACCAGGAUGUAACUUGACCAUCAGGGGAUGACUGGGGACCACCAAGAGGUGACUGGAGACCACCAGGAAAUGUUGGGCAACCACAAGGAGGUGAUUGGGGACCAUCGGGACGUGGCUGACCACCAAGAGGUGACUGGGGACCACCAGGAAGUGACUGGGAACAAGCAGUGGAUGUUUGGUGACCUGGGCACCACCAGGAGGUGACUGGGGACCACCAGGAGAUGUUGGGCAACCAUCAGGAGGUGACUGGGGACCAGCAGGGCAUGACUGACCAGCAGGGGAUGGUUGGAGACUACCAGGAGGUGACCGAGGACCACCAGGAGUUGUUGGGCAACCACAAGGAGGUGAUUGGGGACCAUCGGGACGUGGCUGACCACCAGGGGAUGACUGGGGACCAUCAGGGGAUGUUGGACAACCACCAAGAGGUGACUGGGGACCACCAGGAGGUGACUGGGAACAAGCAGUGGAUGUUUGGUGACCUGGGCACCACCAGGAGGUGAUUGGGGACCACCAGAAGAUGGGUCGACCACCAGGAGAUGUCGAGUAAGUAUCAGGGGGACAUCAGAGGACCAUCACGGGAUACUGGGGACCCCGAGGGACCAGCCCUCGGUGUGCACUGGGUCUGGAAGAGUCCUGGGGCACUCACCAGCUUCUGCAUGUUGGCAGCGGGUGGCUGCACUUUGCUCCUCAGCUUGUUGUGCAGCGAGAGCACCAGGAAGGUCUCCUUCGCGCUGAGAGCUGCGGAGGGUGAGGGGCGGCCGGGGGCUGGGGCCGGGGGCCGAGCGGGUGCCCCCACCACGGCCGGUCCCACGCGGCAGCCGGGGAUAUGGGGAAGGCUCCCAGGUCUCCAUGGAGACUGGAGGGAGCGAAGGAAGCGCUUUUGGGCAGGAGCACAAAGGGGACAGGGGCCGGGCAGGGGGAGGCGAGACCACCGGGAAUGCGCCCGGUCUCCAGAUGGCAUCGGGGUGUUGGGCACCGCGCUGCCUCCCUCUGGGAUGGAUCUGUCACCAGCCCCGAGCCCCCAGCACUGUACCUGGGUCCCUAUUACCAGCCCCGUGUCCCCACCACCAGCCCCACAUCCCCAUCACCACCCCAAACCCCUGCCCUCCUGGGGAGCACCUGGUUAGGGACAGGACUGGGGCGCAAUCAUCCCAUCCCCUUAGGGACUUCCCAAGCUGCCCCCCCAGGGCAGUGAGCCCCCCUGUCCCCUCUCCCCGUUACCUCGGGGCCCCGGAGCCAGUGGGGACAGUUUCUCCGUCUCUCCCAGCCUCCAGACCAGGCAGGCCAGCAGCACCAGGAGCCGGCCGGCCGGACCCCUGCCGUCCUCCAUGCCCCGCAGCCGCUCUCACAGAAGGGAAGAUUUGGGAGGGAAGGGAGGAUUUGGGGAGGGACGAGCCGGUCCUGCGUGCCUGUGUGUCUGCUUCCAAGAUUUUAUCCUAUUCAGGACUUCAGACAGGCACUGCUGGUCAGCCCGAACAAAAGGUUGACGGCCUGCGUGGCAGCAGCCAGCCCCGCCGCGAUGCUGCUCGUCCUGCUGCCAGCCUGGGUGGCUCUGUGUGUCCUGCAGCUGCCCCUCGGCAGCACCCAGGUAAGGACCCCACUCCCAAAAUCAGCAUAGACACAUUACCUGUGGGGCUGCCCUGGGCCAUGGGGUGGUUUUGGGGCUCAGCCCCUGCUGGGGAGGAUGCUGGACCCUGCUGGGGUGUUCCCUCAGCACCAGAGUAGGGCCAGGAGGGGGGCUGGGGUUGGAGCAGAUGCAGAAGCAAAGACAAACCCCGCGGUGGGAUGGGGAGAGAUGAGCUCAGAGCAUCCCAACCGUCCCCAAGUGCUGCCCGCCUGCAUGGGAGGG